This 1347-nucleotide ribosomal RNA is filed under the name uncultured bacterium. Its description in RNAcentral is "bacterial SSU rRNA". It matches the Rfam family "Bacterial small subunit ribosomal RNA", at positions 13 to 1381 of the family's 1533-position model. The record is from RNAcentral.
UUGAUCCUGGCUCAGGACGAACGCUGGCGGCGCGCCUAACACAUGCAAGUCGAACGAGCGAGAGAGAGCUUGCUUUCUCGAGCGAGUGGCGAACGGGUGAGUAACGCGUGAGGAACCUGCCUCAAAGAGGGGGACAACAGUUGGAAACGACUGCUAAUACCGCAUAAGCCCACGGCUCGGCAUCGAGCAGAGGGAAAAGGAGCAAUCCGCUUUGAGAUGGCCUCGCGUCCGAUUAGCUAGUUGGUGAGGUAACGGCCCACCAAGGCGACGAUCGGUAGCCGGACUGAGAGGUUGAACGGCCACAUUGGGACUGAGACACGGCCCAGACUCCUACGGGAGGCAGCAGUGGGGAAUAUUGCACAAUGGGGGAAACCCUGAUGCAGCGACGCCGCGUGGAGGAAGAAGGUCUUCGGAUUGUAAACUCCUGUUGUUGGGGAAGAUAAUGACGGUACCCAACAAGGAAGUGACGGCUAACUACGUGCCAGCAGCCGCGGUAAAACGUAGGUCACAAGCGUUGUCCGGAAUUACUGGGUGUAAAGGGAGCGCAGGCGGGAAGACAAGUUGGAAGUGAAAUCUAUGGGCUCAACUCAUAAACUGCUUUCAAAACUGUUUUUCUUGAGUAGUGCAGAGGUAGGCGGAAUUCCCGGUGUAGCGGUGGAAUGCGUAGAUAUCGGGAGGAACACCAGUGGCGAAGGCGGCCUACUGGGCACCAACUGACGCUGAGGCUCGAAAGUGUGGGUAGCAAACAGGAUUAGAUACCCUGGUAGUCCACACCGUAAACGAUGAUUACUAGGUGUUGGAGGAUUGACCCCUUCAGUGCCGCAGUUAACACAAUAAGUAAUCCACCUGGGGAGUACGACCGCAAGGUUGAAACUCAAAGGAAUUGACGGGGGCCCGCACAAGCAGUGGAGUAUGUGGUUUAAUUCGACGCAACGCGAAGAACCUUACCAAGUCUUGACAUCCCUUGACAGACAUAGAAAUAUGUAUUCUCUUCGGAGCAAGGAGACAGGUGGUGCAUGGUUGUCGUCAGCUCGUGUCGUGAGAUGUUGGGUUAAGUCCCGCAACGAGCGCAACCCUUAUGGUCAGUUACUACGCAAGAGGACUCUGGCCAGACUGCCGUUGACAAAACGGAGGAAGGUGGGGAUGACGUCAAAUCAUCAUGCCCUUUAUGACUUGGGCUACACACGUACUACAAUGGCGUUAAACAAAGAGAAGCAAGACCGCGAGGUGGAGCAAAACUCAGAAACAACGUCCCAGUUCGGACUGCAGGCUGCAACUCGCCUGCACGAAGUCGGAAUUGCUAGUAAUCGUGGAUCAGCAUGCCACGGUGAAUACGUUCCCGGGCCU